UAUGGAAAAGAUGGAUAACUAGCUAAAUUUGUGGAUUCAUAAGAUGGCAGUCAAACUUUACAAAGCAUUAUAAACAACAUUGUUUUGAGGCUGAGAGCCAAAGAAAUUUAAGUUCUUGUUACUCAUGUCAGGAAAAUGUUAGACCCUUCUCAGUAUGAUAAAGGAAUAGUGCAUAUAUAAUUCAUUAUUUUAAGAACUAUA
This 201-nucleotide long non-coding RNA is filed under the name Bos taurus (domestic cattle). RNAcentral describes it as "long non-coding RNA NONBTAT026486". Lineage: Eukaryota; Metazoa; Chordata; Mammalia; Artiodactyla; Bovidae. The record is from RNAcentral.